CUACCUAGUUCUACGGAACAACAGUUGGAAACGACUGCUAAUACCGUAUACGCCCUACGGGGGAAAGAUUUAUCGGAAUUAGAUGAGCCCGCGUAAGAUUAGCUAGUUGGUGGGGUAAUGGCCUACCAAGGCGACGAUCUUUAGCUGGUCUGAGAGGAUGAUCAGCCACACUGGGACUGAGACACGGCCCAGACUCCUACGGGAGGCAGCAGUGGGGAAUAUUGGACAAUGGGCGCAAGCCUGAUCCAGCCAUGCCGCGUGAGUGAUGAAGGCCUUAGGGUUGUAAAGCUCUUUCACCGAUGAAGAUAAUGACGGUAGUCGGAGAAGAAGCCCCGGCUAACUUCGUGCCAGCAGCCGCGGUAAUACGAAGGGGGCUAGCGUUGUUCGGAUUUACUGGGCGUAAAGCGCACGUAGGCGGUUUGUUAAGUCAGGGGUGAAAUCCCGGAGCUCAACUCCGGAACUGCCUUUGAUACUGGCAAGCUAGAGUCCGGAAGAGGUAAGUGGAACUCCUAGU
Molecule: ribosomal RNA, 514 nt
Filed under: uncultured bacterium
Lineage: Bacteria
Description: bacterial SSU rRNA
Rfam family: Bacterial small subunit ribosomal RNA
Source: RNAcentral